RNAcentral lists this ribosomal RNA (253 nucleotides) under uncultured bacterium. Its description in RNAcentral is "partial 16S ribosomal RNA". It matches the Rfam family "Bacterial small subunit ribosomal RNA", at positions 524 to 776 of the family's 1533-position model. The record is from RNAcentral.
UACGUAGGGGGCAAGCGUUGUCCGGAAUUAUUGGGCGUAAAGCGCGCGCAGGCGGCUUAUUAAGUCUGAUGUGAAAGCCCACGGCUCAACCGUGGAGGGCCAUUGGAAACUGGUAGGCUUGAGUGCAGGAGAGGAGAGCGGAAUUCCCGGUGUAGCGGUGAAAUGCGUAGAUAUCGGGAAGAACACCCGUGGCGAAGGCGGCUCUCUGGGACGGUACUGACGCUGAGACGCGAAAGCGUGGGGAGCGAACAGG